Molecule: ribosomal RNA, 254 nt
Filed under: uncultured bacterium
Lineage: Bacteria
Description: partial 16S ribosomal RNA
Rfam family: Bacterial small subunit ribosomal RNA
Source: RNAcentral
CGGACGGGUGAGUAACGCGUGGAUAACCUGCCGUAUACUGGGGGAUAACACUUAGAAAUAGGUGCUAAUACCGCAUAAGCGCACAGUCUCGCAUGAGACGGUGUGAAAAACUCCGGUGGUAUACGAUGGAUCCGCGUCUGAUUAGCUUGUUGGCGGGGUAACAGCCCACCAAGGCGACGAUCAGUAGCCGGCCUGAGAGGGUGACGGCCACAUUGGGACUGAGACACGGCCCAAACUCCUACGGAAGGCAGCAG